RNAcentral lists this ribosomal RNA (422 nucleotides) under uncultured bacterium. RNAcentral's name for it is "bacterial SSU rRNA". It matches the Rfam family "Bacterial small subunit ribosomal RNA", at positions 355 to 774 of the family's 1533-position model. The record is from RNAcentral.
UGAGGAAUAUUGGUCAAUGGGCGAGAGCCUGAACCAGCCAUGCCGCGUGAAGGAUGAAGGCGUUCUGCGUUGUAAACUUCUUUUAUUAGGGAAGAAACCUGAGAUUUUCAUUUCAGCCGACGGUACCUAAUGAAUAAGCACCGGCUAACUCCGUGCCAGCAGCCGCGGUAAUACGGAGGGUGCAAGCGUUAUCCGGAUUUACUGGGUUUAAAGGGUGUGUAGGCGGAUUAGUAAGUCAGGGGUGAAAUCCCGGAGCUCAACUCCGGAACUGCCUUUGAUACUAUUAGUCUUGAAUAUUGUUGAGGUGGGCGGAACGGGUCAUGUAGCGGUGAAAUGCAUAGAUAUGACCCGGAACACCGAUUGCGAAGGCAGCCCGCUAAGCAAUGAUUGACGCUGAGGCACGAAAGCGUGGGGAUCAAACA